Non-coding RNA from Picea glauca (white spruce), 45 nucleotides. NCBI's taxonomy places the organism in Eukaryota, Viridiplantae, Streptophyta, Pinopsida, Pinales, Pinaceae. The record is from Rfam.
AAAAUGGUGUCUUUAGACACCAUCAAUAUUCCUUGAAGAUUAUUU